CGAGCUGGCCAGGCAGCCGUCGCGUCUUCUUCGGGAGGCGUGAAGGAAAGUCCGGGCUCCACAGGACAGGGCGCCAGGUAACUCCUGGGGGGCGCGAGCCCACGGAAAGUGCAGCAGAGAGCAGACCGCCCGCCGUUCUCGGCGGGUAAGGGUGAAAGGGUGCGGUAAGAGCGCACCGCGUUCGGCGGUAACGCCGGCGGCUAGGCAAACCCCGCCCGGAGCAAGGCCAAAUAGGGAUCUUUACGCGUGGUCCGCGCUGGAUUCGGGUAGGCCGCUAGAGGCGAUCGGCGACGGUCGCCCCAGAUGAAUGGUUGCCCACGACAGAACCCGGCUUAUCGGCCGGCUCGACUC
RNAcentral lists this RNase P RNA (351 nucleotides) under Gammaproteobacteria bacterium. RNAcentral's name for it is "RNase P RNA component class A". It matches the Rfam family "Bacterial RNase P class A". Rfam says of the family: Ribonuclease P (RNase P) is a ubiquitous endoribonuclease, found in archaea, bacteria and eukarya as well as chloroplasts and mitochondria. Lineage: Bacteria; Pseudomonadati; Pseudomonadota; Gammaproteobacteria. The record is from RNAcentral.